GAUGAACGCUGGCGGCGUGCCUAAUACAUGCAAGUCGAGCGAACAGACGAGGAGCUUGCUCCUCUGACGUUAGCGGCGGACGGGUGAGUAACACGUGGAUAACCUACCUAUAAGACUGGGAUAACUUCGGGAAACCGGAGCUAAUACCGGAUAAUAUAUUGAACCGCAUGGUUCAAUAGUGAAAGACGGUUUUGCUGUCACUUAUAGAUGGAUCCGCGCCGCAUUAGCUAGUUGGUAAGGUAACGGCUUACCAAGGCAACGAUGCGUAGCCGACCUGAGAGGGUGAUCGGCCACCCUGGAACCUAGACACGGUCCAGACUCCUAAGGGAGGCAGCAGUAGGGAAUCUUCCGGAAUGGGCGAAAGCCUGACGGAGCAACGCCGCGUGAGUGAUGAAGGUCUUCGGAUCGUAAAACUCUGUUAUUAGGGAAGAACAAAUGUGUAAGUAACUAUGCACGUCUUGACGGUACCUAAUCAGAAAACCACGGCUAAAUACGUG
Molecule: ribosomal RNA, 497 nt
Filed under: uncultured bacterium
Lineage: Bacteria
Description: partial 16S ribosomal RNA
Rfam family: Bacterial small subunit ribosomal RNA
Source: RNAcentral